GGCCAACCCAUCUGGCGCGUCCCCACGCGGGGCUUCCCUCUGUUAGAAGCGAGACAUAAAGACGCCCAUCUAGCCAUCGUAAUUACCAUGGAUGAUGUGCUGAACAUUGGAGGAUAUGCUGAGCCUUCCAGAGCCACGGCCCAUGAGUUCAUGCUAUAUUUUCAAGUAGCCGCAAGUUUUUCUGCAAAAAGUAGUUGCAAGCCCCCGCACCCCCACCCCCGCACCGGCACGAAUGUGAUAUCUCGAAAUCACACUUGCACUAUUAUUAUUUUUAAAUCGUCCGGUCGUGCAAGUGAAAGGCAAUAACGACGAUAUUCAAUGAACUGGCCGUGGCAGAGAGAAACGAGUAUGAACUCGAUUUGUUUUGUUUUUGUAAAUAUGUUUAACCUAGUAUUCAUGAUUCAGCUUAUUAUGAUCAAACAUGUUUGCAAUGACAAUUAGAGAUUAUAGUUCCUCAUGCCAUGCAUAAGUAGCUAGGAGUGAAUAAUAACUUAUCUUGAAUAUCAACAUUGCUUUAAAAUGAUUGUGAUAUAGUAUGAUGAUGUGGUACCCUCCUCUGAAUGUUCGAGUGGCUUGACUUGGCACAUGUUCACGCAUGUAGUUGAAUCAAAACCAACAUAGCCUUUAUGAUAUUUACGUUCAUGGUGUUCAUAUCCUACUCAUGCUACUAUCCAAUGUUACUUAUGCAUAAUGCAUGUUCAUGACGAUUGUUGCUCUCUAGCUGGUCGAUUCUCAAUCUAUUUUCUAGCCUUCGCCUGUACUAAAGUGGAAACUCUGCUUGUACAUCAAAAAACCUGAAACCCAAGUUAUUCCAGACGAGUCCACCAUACCUACCUAUAUGCGGUAUUACCCUGCCGUCCUAAGUAAAUUUGCAUGUGUCAUGUCUAAAAAUUUCCAAAAGAAAAAUCCUUUUUGUGUGCCUGGAUCGUUCAUGGAACGACAGGAGGUAGUCGGUAUCUUCCAUGCUAAGCGGGUUAUUUUUAGGUCGAGUGUUUAUUCACUUCCAUUGCACGAGAAAAGGGCGGCAAUAGGGAUGCCCAGUCCCAAACUGCAAAAAAAAUUUGAUCUCUCAAAUAAUCAAACAAAAACUCCCAAUGAAGGCAUAACCAUUACUUUUCCGCUUGGGAACCGCCACUAGCGUAUUUAGCAUGGAAGAUAUUGAUAACUGAUGGUCAUGAAGUACAUGAGAAGGAUGCAUGUCUCAAAAUUUCAUUUACCCCUGUUUUAAAAACUUGAGCUUUGGCACCUCUGCAAAUCACUGCUUCCCUCUGUGAAGGGGCUAUCUAUUUACUUUUAUGUUGUGUCAUCACCUUCUCAAAUAAGCGCCAGAACCUGAGAGCACUGCUGUCAUGCUGAUGCAUUGUGUGUAGCUAAUGUUGGGUGCAUCAUUACUGGAUCUUUUCUACCAUGAAUUACAAUGUCUAGUCGCUGCUUGAACUUUAGCGGUGCUUUGCAUUUAUGUUUUGCGGUCUCAGAAAUGACUAGCGAGAUACCACUAUUGUCAUAUUAUAUCAUGGUUAUUUUGACAACGUGUUGCUGUUUGAGAUAUCUUAUUAUUCCUCUCUAGUUGGUUAUGUCAUUGAUAUGAGUUAAUAUAAUUUUUAAGAGUUCUAGUCGACAUGGUUAGUUAUAAUCUUUGCUGAAAACCUGGGUGUUGUUUAAGCUUAUUUAUAAAACAAGAGCAAAAGAGUUCGUAAAAGUUUUUCCUUUUUCACUUUCAGUUUAUCAACUGAAUUGCUUGAGGACAAGCAAAGGUUUAAGCUUGAGGGAGUUGAUACGUCUCCGUCGUAUCUACUUUUCCUAACGCUUUUCCUCUUGUUUUGGACUCUAAUUUGGAUGAUUUGAAUGAAACUAACCCGGACUAAUGCUGUUUUUAGUAGAACUACCAUGGUGUUGUUUUUGUGCAGAAAUAAAAGUUCUCGGAAUGGAAGAAAACUUUGCGAGGAUUUUUUAUACAAUAAAAGAAAAUAUCUAGAGCCAAGAACAAUCGGAGGGGGGCACCUGGGUGGGCACAACACACCAAGGCGCGCCACCCCCUCCAGGCAUGCCUAGGUGGGUUGUCCCCACCUGGUGGCCCCGAUGAACCUGAAACCGACGCUAUAAAAUCACAUAUUUCCAGAAAAAAAUCGGGGAGAAAGAAUUAUCGCAUUUCACGAGACGGAGUCGUUGCCGUCUCCUGUUCUUCAUACGGAGGCCAGAUCUGGAGUCCGUUCGGGGCUCCGGAGAGGGGGAUCUUCGAUCUUCAUCAUCACCAACACAUCUCCAUCGCCAAUUCCAUGAUGCUCCCCACCGGAAGUGAGUAAUUCCUUCGUAGGCUCGCAGGUCGGUGAUGAGUUGGAUGGGAUUCAUCAUGUAAUCGAGUUAGUUU
RNAcentral lists this ribosomal RNA (2368 nucleotides) under Triticum aestivum (bread wheat). RNAcentral describes it as "partial small subunit ribosomal RNA". The record is from RNAcentral. Lineage: Eukaryota; Viridiplantae; Streptophyta; Magnoliopsida; Poales; Poaceae.